UUUAAAAAAAAACAACAACAACACCCCUCCCUGAUUGAUGUCUGGGGUUUGGGGGAGCCUUACUUGCCCUUUUUCCUAGACGUUGCCCCAAACCCUUCUCUUUUGCUCUGGAUUCUCUCCCUUGGAGAAUUGUAAAAAAUUUCCUCUUGCCAGAGGAGUUUUAGAGAUCAGCUGGGGGGGGUAGGUUUGGGAUCGGGGGGAAGCUUUAUGGACCGCUUCCACCGAAUUUGCAAUAGAGAGCACCUUUUCCUGUGCGGAAAAAAUGUGAAACCUCAUUAAAGAGAAGGCACCUUUCAAUGGAUGUGUUCGUGAAACUUGCAGAGCCCCGAGAAUCCUUUUGAGAGCUUGCGGUCAGUCAUGACUAGAGGUGACAGACUAGAACGUCCCUACUCCGGAGUGGAAACUUCCUGGAGUGAUGACAGUGGCAAACAACUCCUUGAACAUCCUCAAAAAAACCUAUUUGGGCUACAUAUCAGUCUCCAGUGAUUUUAGGGUACAGGACAACCCAAUACCUUUGCUCUUUAGGGGGAAGCUUUAAUUUAGCUCCAUCAAUGUAGGGGCAACCCGAUAUAUUUGAGUGUGUGUCCCACUCCGUUUAUAUCUAGACUCCCAUCCUCUUCCCCGUUUUAGGUACAGAAGGUCUGUGACCAUGGUGGCUUAAUGUUUUUCGUUCUCUUGCAUGCUGUGGUAGGAAAUACAAGGUGUAAAUUGAAGACCUGAAUAGUCUUCUGAUGUUCACUUCACGUAGGGUUGAAUCACUCCGAAUCCGGAAGUGACACUUCCUCAUGUUACAUAAAGAGCGUACUGUGAAGCUGGAUUGGACACGGUGUCAUCAGAUGCGCAGUGGCGCUUCUGAAUUUGCUGGUAAAUGCUCUGUAAUAUGUGCAGAACAAUAUGUGCAGAGCAAGAUGGCGUCCUGUUUAAAAUAUUCAGCAUGUUUGCAUUAUUUUAGAAAUGUCCUUGGUGUCAUGUUUAUACUAAUUGCAUGGUUAAAUAUAGGCUAAAUAUGCCUAUGUCAUUUAAAAGAAACAGAAAAGAGAUAAUGAUAGCAGCUUUUGAUGCUUGCUUUGGUAUUGAGGCUUAAAGCAUGUUUAUGAAGUGGCUUUUGAGCUGUGGUCUAGAAGAGCGAUUAGGUUGCCAGCCUGAAUCUUUUAUUAACAAAUGGAAGAACAUGAACCCAGGUGGCUUGGCAGGUUUUGUAUCUAUGUGUAUGUUUUCAGAGUCUGGCCUUCCUCGAAUGGUUCUGACUAUUAUCAAGCUAGUGUGUUUCUUUUGAUAGGGUGGCGAGAAUACGCGACCAGUUGUCACACCAAGAAACACACAUUGUUGUGUAUGUGACAUCAUCUCCAUAUGUUUAUGGAUAGCCGUUGCUGAAUUGGCUUGAUGGAAGAUACAGUAUAGUGAAACCACAUCUGAAUGGCGUCGAGGUGAUGACUAGGCUGUUGUGUGCUUAUUUGUUCAGCAAGCCUUUCGCACCUUGUUUUGUAAGCAGGGAUAUGAGUGCUUAAUUGUGCUACAGUGGUGCCUCGCUAGACAGUUCCCCCGCAUGACAGUUUUUUCACUAGACAUUGACUUUUUGCGAUCGCUAUAGCGAUUCGCAAAACAGUGAUUCCUAUGGGGGAAUUUCGCUGGACAAUGUUUGGUCCCUGCUUCGCAAACCAAUUUUGGCUAGACAACGAUUUUGACAGCUCCCUCCGUGCUCGCAGAACGCGUGUUUUCGGGACCUAAGCUUCGCAAGACAGCUAUUUAAACAGCUGAUCGGCGGUUCACAAAGUGGCUUUCCUAUGACCGAUCUUCGCUAGACAACGAGGAUUCUUCCCCAUUGGAACGCAUUAAACAGGUU
This 1843-nucleotide long non-coding RNA is filed under the name Pogona vitticeps (central bearded dragon). RNAcentral describes it as "lncRNA (ENSPVIG00000008907.1)". Lineage: Eukaryota; Metazoa; Chordata; Lepidosauria; Squamata; Agamidae. The record is from RNAcentral.